Molecule: ribosomal RNA, 486 nt
Filed under: uncultured bacterium
Lineage: Bacteria
Description: partial 16S ribosomal RNA
Rfam family: Bacterial small subunit ribosomal RNA
Source: RNAcentral
AUUGAACGCUGGCGGCAUGCCUUACACAUGCAAGUCGAACGGCAGCACGGGUGCUUGCACCUGGUGGCGAGUGGCGAACGGGUGAGUAAUACAUCGGAGCAUGUCCUGUAGUGGGGGAUAGCCCGGCGAAGGCCGGAUUAAUACCGCAUACGAUCUACGGAUGAAAGCGGGGGACCUUCGGGCCUCGCGCUAUAGGGUUGGCCGAUGGCUGAUUAGCUAGUUGGUGGGGUAAAGGCCUACCAAGGCGACGAUCAGUAGCUGGUCUGAGAGGACGACCAGCCACACUGGGACUGAGACACGGCCCAGACUCCUACGGGAGGCAGCAGUGGGGAAUUUUGGACAAUGGGCGAAAGCCUGAUCCAGCAAUGCCGCGUGUGUGAAGAAGGCCUUCGGGUUGUAAAGCACUUUUGUCCGGAAAGAAAUCCUUGGCCCUAAUACGGUCGGGGGAUGACGGUACCGGAAGAAUAAGCACCGGCUAACUACGUG